This 1384-nucleotide ribosomal RNA is filed under the name uncultured bacterium. RNAcentral's name for it is "bacterial SSU rRNA". It matches the Rfam family "Bacterial small subunit ribosomal RNA". The record is from RNAcentral.
AGAGUUUGAUCAUGGCUCAGGAUGAACGCUAGCGACAGGCUUAACACAUGCAAGUCGAGGGGCAGCACAGGAAGUAGCUUGCUACUUUUGGUGGCGACCGGCGCACGGGUGCGUAACGCGUAUGCAACCUACCCAUAACAGGGGGAUAACACUGAGAAAUUGGUACUAAUACCCCAUAAUAUUUUGGAAGGCAUCUUCUAAAGUUGAAAACUCCGGUGGUUAUGGAUGGGCAUGCGUUGUAUUAGCUAGUUGGUGAGGUAACGGCUCACCAAGGCGACGAUACAUAGGGGGACUGAGAGGUUAACCCCCCACAUUGGUACUGAGACACGGACCAAACUCCUACGGGAGGCAGCAGUGAGGAAUAUUGGUCAAUGGACGCAAGUCUGAACCAGCCAUGCCGCGUGCAGGAAGACGGCUCUAUGAGUUGUAAACUGCUUUUGUAUGAGGGUAAACGCAGAUACGCGUAUCUGCCUGAAAGUAUCAUACGAAUAAGGAUCGGCUAACUCCGUGCCAGCAGCCGCGGUAAUACGGAGGAUUCAAGCGUUAUCCGGAUUUAUUGGGUUUAAAGGGUGCGUAGGCGGUUGAAUAAGUCAGUGGUGAAAUACCGGGGCUCGACUCCGGAACUGCCAUUGAUACUGUUUAGCUAGAGAGUAGUUGCUGUGGGCGGAAUGUAUGGUGUAGCGGUGAAAUGCUUAGAGAUCAUACAGAACACCGAUUGCGAAGGCAGCUCACAAAACUAUAUCUGACGUUGAGGCACGAAAGCGUGGGGAGCAAAUAGGAUUAGAUACCCUAGUAGUCCACGCCGUAAACGAUGAGUACUAAGUGUCGGGAAACCGGUGCUGAAGUUAACACAUUAAGUACUCCGCCUGAGUAGUACGGUCGCAAGGCUGAAACUCAAAGGAAUUGACGGGCACCCGCACAAGCGGUGGAGCAUGCUGUUUAAUUCGAAGAUACGCGAAGAACCUUACCUAGACUUGACAUCCCUGGCAAAGCUAUAGAAAUAUAGUGGAGGUUAUCCAGGUGACAGGUGGUGCAUGGUUGUCGUCAGCUCGUGUCGUGAGAUGUUCGGUUAAGUCCGAUAACGAGCGCAACCCUUAUCAUUAGUUACUAACAUUCAGUUGAGGACUCUAAUGAGACUGCCGGUGAUAAACCGGAGGAAGGUGGGGAUGACGUCAAAUCAUCAUGCCCCUUACGUCUAGGGCUACAGGCGUGCUACAAUGGCUGGUACAAAGAGACGCAAUACCGUGAGGUGGAGCAAAUCUCCAAAACCAGUCCCAGUUCGGAUUGGAGUCUGCAACUCGACUCCAUGAAGUUGGAAUCGCUAGUAAUCCUGAAUCAGAAUGUCAGGGUGAAUACGUUCCCGGGUGUUGCACUCACCGCCCGU